RNAcentral lists this ribosomal RNA (253 nucleotides) under uncultured bacterium. RNAcentral describes it as "partial 16S ribosomal RNA". It matches the Rfam family "Bacterial small subunit ribosomal RNA", at positions 524 to 776 of the family's 1533-position model. The record is from RNAcentral.
UACGGAGGGGGCAAGUGUUGUUCGGAAUUACUGGGCGUAAAGGGCGCGCAGGCGGCUUGGCAAGUCGAGUGUGAAAUACCUCAGCUUAACUGAGGAACGGCGCUCGAAACUACCUCGCUUGAGGGCGGGAGAGGGAAGUGGAACUCUCGGUGUAGGGGUGAAAUGCGCAGAUAUCAGGAAGAACACCCGUGGCUAAGGCGGCUCUCUAGUACGGUACUGACGCUGAGACGCGAAAGCGUGGGGAGCGAACAGG